CAACCCUGGGAACUUACCUAUACGUUGCUUCGGCGGGAAUAGACGGCCCCGUAAAACGGGCCGCCCCCGCCAGAGGACCCUUAACUCUGUUUCUUUUAAUGUAUCUUCUGAGUAAAACAAGCAAAUAAAUUAAAACUUUCAACAACGGAUCUCUUGGCUCUGGCAUCGAUGAAAAACGCAGCGAAAUGCGAUAAGUAAUGUGAAUUGCAGAAUUCAGUGAAUCAUCGAAUCUUUGAACGCACAUUGCGCCCGCCAGUAUUCUGGCGGGCAUGCCUGUUCGAGCGUCAUUACAACCCUCAGGCCCCCGGGCCUGGCGUUGGGGAUCGGCGGAGCCCCCCGUGGGCACACGCCGUCCCCCAAAUACAGUGGCGGUCCCGCCGCAGCUUCCAUCGCGUAAUAGCUAACACCUCGCGACUGGAGAGCGGCGCGGCCACGCCGUAAAACACCCAACUCUUCUGAAGUUGACCUCCAAUCAGGUAGGAAUACCCGC
Molecule: ribosomal RNA, 490 nt
Filed under: Fusarium sp. MX82
Lineage: Eukaryota; Fungi; Ascomycota; Sordariomycetes; Hypocreales; Nectriaceae
Description: eukaryotic LSU rRNA
Rfam family: 5.8S ribosomal RNA (bases 134-287)
Source: RNAcentral